RNAcentral lists this ribosomal RNA (301 nucleotides) under uncultured bacterium. RNAcentral describes it as "partial 16S ribosomal RNA". It matches the Rfam family "Bacterial small subunit ribosomal RNA", at positions 509 to 807 of the family's 1533-position model. The record is from RNAcentral.
CAGCAGCCACGGUAAUACGGAGGGGGCUAGCGUUGUUCGGAAUUACUGGGCGUAAAGCGCACGUAGGCGGCUUGGUAAGUUAGAGGUGAAAGCCUGGAGCUCAACUCCAGAAUUGCCUUUAAGACUGCCGAGCUAGCAGGUGAGAGAGGUAAGUGGAAUUCCGAGUGUAGAGGUGAAAUUCGUAGAUAUUCGGAAGAACACCAGUGGCGAAGGCGGCUUACUGGCUCAUACUGGACGCUGAGGUGCGAAAGCGUGGGAAGCAAACAGGAUUAGAUACCCCCGUAGUCCCUGUCUCUUAUAC